RNAcentral lists this transfer-messenger RNA (376 nucleotides) under Burkholderiaceae. Its description in RNAcentral is "Noviherbaspirillum_A pedocola Standard tmRNA". It matches the Rfam family "transfer-messenger RNA". Rfam says of the family: Bacterial tmRNA, also known as 10Sa RNA or SsrA, is named for its dual tRNA and mRNA-like properties. Lineage: Bacteria; Pseudomonadati; Pseudomonadota; Betaproteobacteria; Burkholderiales. RNAcentral also lists the same sequence under 1 other name. The record is from RNAcentral.
GGGGGCGACUUGGUCUCGACAGGGGUUGCGAAGCAGUGCAGGGCAUACCGAGGACUGGUUACCUCGUAAAACCAUCCAGAUAGCAAUAAAUGCUAACGAUGAAGCUUACGCUCUCGCAGCGUAAUACCUAGAAACUUAAUAACUUUCUAGCUCCACACCGCCUCGUCCCUGGGGCGGGCCGGCAACGGCAGUGGAGUCACUCACAGGGAAUCGCGUUACGUCGGGUCACUUGGCGCAACGUUAAAAAUAGGUGACUCGCUUUGCCGAAGCGCGUGCGUCCGCGUCGGCAGGGUCAAAACCAAAUGGCUGCACUAAGUAUGUAGAACUGUCUGUAGAGGACUUCUGGACGCGGGUUCGAUUCCCGCCGCCUCCACCA